Molecule: ribosomal RNA, 264 nt
Filed under: uncultured bacterium
Lineage: Bacteria
Description: partial 16S ribosomal RNA
Rfam family: Bacterial small subunit ribosomal RNA
Source: RNAcentral
GACGAACGCUGGCGGCGUGCUUAACACAUGCAAGUCGAGCGGUAAGGCCCUUUCGGGGGUACGACGAGCGGCGAACGGGUGAGUAACACGUGGGUGACCUCGCCCUCAGCUCUGGGAUAAGCCUGGGAAACCGGGGUCUAAUACCGGAUAUGACUCCAUGACGCAUGUUGUGGGGUGGAAAGCCUUGUGCGGCUGAGGAUGGGCCCGCGGCCUAUCAGCUUGUUGGUGGGGUGAUGGCCUACCAAGGCGACGACGGGUAGCCGG